Molecule: ribosomal RNA, 120 nt
Filed under: Petromyzon marinus (sea lamprey)
Lineage: Eukaryota; Metazoa; Chordata; Hyperoartia; Petromyzontiformes; Petromyzontidae
Source: RNAcentral
GCUUUUGACCAAACCACCUGGAAUGCACCCAAUCUCAUUAGAUUUCGGAAGCUAAGCAGGGAUGAGCCUGGAUAGUGCUUGGAAGGGCGAUCACCAUACAUACAGGGUGGCCCAAAAGUC